Schizosaccharomyces pombe (fission yeast) is the source of this 1088-nucleotide non-coding RNA. The record is from the annotation of a GenBank genome assembly. Lineage: Eukaryota; Fungi; Ascomycota; Schizosaccharomycetes; Schizosaccharomycetales; Schizosaccharomycetaceae.
GCCAAACUAGGGAAGUAAUGGCAACUUGCAGCGUGAAUAGUGCAGUAAUGUAUGGCAACAAAUUGAUUCUUUAAUUUCAACGAUUUUUUUUACAGUUCUUGAGUUAACUGAGAGUCAAGAAUUUUAGUAAUAAUAUCAAGUGGUAAUUACUUGAGCACAAAUUUUUUAAACUCACUGUAGCUUAAUUUUAUGAGGAUGGAGACCAAGAUAGUCAUAUAGGCUUCACUUUAUUUUCCUUUGAUCUGCGAGUUACCUUUUAAGAUCAUGAAAAAAGACACCACUGUAUGAUUUAUAUUCAAAACGCCUAACAGCACCGCCACCACACUUCAUUCCGUUUGCAAAGUAAUGGAUUUUUAGAUUACGAAAUAUUUUAUUUUCACUAUAUGAAUAACUGACAAGCUGAUACUCAAUUAACAAAAUGGCUGUCAGAUAAGAUUUCUAUCCAUAGCUAAAGCGAUUUACCUUUAAUAAAUAUUUCAUUUAUACAGUCGAAUAGUUACGAAUACAACUCACUAGUGAUUUGUGCUACACGACAUCACUACUGAAAUUUUCACUUUAAACUACACUACUCAUAUGAUUUUUAUUGAUCACUUUCGAUCUACGACAGCGUGAUUAUUUGAAGCAAAUGAAGAUCUUUAUGUAAUAACCCUAAAAAACAUCUUAUCACUCAUUGGAAACCUCUCAUAGUGAAAUGUAAAACCUGUGCAAGCAGGAGUAUAAAAAAUCGAGCUGCAAAGGGCCGUCUGAUAUUACAUGGGUACUAAGUUUCAUACUUUAGAGUCGACUUCUCAUAUGCAAUGAAAGAAGCGAGCGUAAACGCUACACUUCGCAUCCUUUCCUCAUUAGUAGACGGAUAGGAAUAGUGUUAGAGCGGGAAUUUUUAAAGAUGGGUUAGACGAGAUAAUCUUAUGACAUUCCACCUUUUUCCUUCAUACUACAUUGAACAAAGGUCGCAGCUAAAUAAAAGCCACACGGCAAACUUACAAAGUCAACAUAUAAUUAACUAUUAAUCAUUUCAUUCUAAUUUUGAAUAUUUAUAAAAGAGAGAAAAAAAACAGCGAAGAAAAAUCUUGUAGAAAUAAAUAGAU